This 467-nucleotide ribosomal RNA is filed under the name uncultured bacterium. RNAcentral's name for it is "partial 16S ribosomal RNA". It matches the Rfam family "Bacterial small subunit ribosomal RNA", at positions 28 to 506 of the family's 1533-position model. The record is from RNAcentral.
GACGAACGCUGGCGGCGUGCUUAACACAUGCAAGUCGAACGGAAAGACCCUGCUUUUGUGGGGUGCUCGAGUGGCGAACGGGUGAGUAACACGUGAGUAACCUGCCCUUGACUUUGGGAUAACUUCAGGAAACUGGGGCUAAUACCGGAUAGGAGCUCCUGCUGCAUGGUGGGGGUUGGAAAGUUUCGGCGGUUGGGGAUGGACUCGCGGCUUAUCAGCUUGUUGGUGGGGUAGUGGCUUACCAAGGCUUUGACGGGUAGCCGGCCUGAGAGGGUGACCGGCCACAUUGGGACUGAGAUACGGCCCAGACUCCUACGGGAGGCAGCAGUGGGGAAUAUUGCACAAUGGGCGGAAGCCGGAUGCAGCAACGCCGCGUGCGGGAGGACGGCCUUCGGGUUGUAAACCGCUUUCGCCUGUGACGAAGCGUGAGUGACGGUAAUGGGUAAAGAAGCACCGGCUAACUACGU